Molecule: ribosomal RNA, 423 nt
Filed under: uncultured bacterium
Lineage: Bacteria
Description: bacterial SSU rRNA
Rfam family: Bacterial small subunit ribosomal RNA
Source: RNAcentral
GAAUAUUGGACAAUGGGGGGAACCCUGAUCCAGCCAUGCCGCGUGUGUGAAGAAGGCCUUUUGGUUGUAAAGCACUUUAAGCGAGGAGGAGGCUACUCUAGUUAAUACCUAGCGAUAGUGGACGUUACUCGCAGAAUAAGCACCGGCUAACUCUGUGCCUGCAGCCGCGGUAAUACAGAGGGUGCAAGCGGUAAUCGGACUUACUGGGCGUAAAGCGCGCGUAGGUGGCCAAUUAAGUCAAAUGUGAAAUCCCCGAGCUUAACUUGGGACUUGCAUUCGAUACUGGUUGGCUAGAGUAUGUGAGAGAAUGGUAGAAUUCCAGGUGUAGCGGUGAAAUGCGUAGAGAUCUGGAGGAAUACCGAUGGCGAAGGCAGCCAUCUGACCUAAUACUGACACUGAGGUGCGAAAGCAUGGGGAGCAAAC